Molecule: long non-coding RNA, 543 nt
Organism: Acanthopagrus latus (yellowfin seabream)
Lineage: Eukaryota; Metazoa; Chordata; Actinopteri; Spariformes; Sparidae
Exons: 3
Source: RefSeq, a predicted model, not a curated record
CUGGGGCAUGUGAAGGGCCUGAAAAGUGAUGCAGAGGUUGCUCUCUUUCUGUUGGACAGGUGUCCAAGAAUCAUGGGGAACCAUCUGACGCUGGCAUCGACUGUAUAAUCGUCAGUUUCAGUGCGAUGACGGGGCCAACAAGUCCACUGUUUGUUCAACUCCAUGUCUGUUCUCCAGCUGUAUCCCCCGAUGAGCCCGGACCACAACACUUUAAUACCCACUCUGUCAUAUCUGCGUCUGCCAGGAACCAGAUUGGAAGCCCUCUUAAACCUCGAUAUAAAUUUUCAUGACGUGUUGAUUUGGGGAAACUAAUGCAUAUGCUGGAAGACGUUGCGCUGAAGCAAAGAUGAUCUGUGCUGUCUUUAAUUGCUCCGUUAAUGUGCAGUGGAAAAACCCAGACUGCGAGGGGUUGUUUUGAGGUUUGGUCCGGCUGGAGUGUCUCUAUGUAAGCAGGUGCUCUACUGCGGCACGGUGGCCAACAACCCCAAAAGUCUGCUGCCUCUCGUCCAACCUAAACUGAAUAAACUGCAUCAUGCAGCCUGG